This is a non-coding RNA of Delphinapterus leucas (beluga whale), 436 nucleotides long. NCBI's taxonomy places the organism in Eukaryota, Metazoa, Chordata, Mammalia, Artiodactyla, Monodontidae. The record is from RefSeq and is a predicted model, not a curated record.
CUCAGGACCUUACCCCCUUGCGCCCUGGGGCUCUGAGGGAGGACCUGCUGCCUGCUUCUGCCCCAGCGUCUGGUGGUGCCGGCGUGCUUGGUGCCUGGAUCUUGUGGCUGCACAGCUCUGCUCUCUUGCCUCCCUUACCACACGGCCUCUUUCCCGUGUCUGUGGCCCCUCUUUUCUUAUGAGGGCUCACCCCCCUCCAGUGUGUCCUCAUCCUAACUACGUACUUCUGGGAAGACCCUCUCUGCAAAUGAGGUCACAUUCUGAGGUUCCAGGUGGACGUGGAUCUGAGGGGACGCUGUCCGACCCAGAACGGAAUAACCCAAGUCACCUUUCCUGGAAAUCAGUUUGCUGAAACUAUUGAAACAGCAGUUCUUGAAGAAAAGGAGAUUCUGCACCCUGACCAGAGGAGCGUGACCCUUCCUUCAAAUCCCUCUCC